This 484-nucleotide ribosomal RNA is filed under the name uncultured bacterium. RNAcentral's name for it is "partial 16S ribosomal RNA". It matches the Rfam family "Bacterial small subunit ribosomal RNA", at positions 28 to 523 of the family's 1533-position model. The record is from RNAcentral.
GACGAACGCUGGCGGCGUGCUUAACACAUGCAAGUCGAACGAUGAAGCCGGAGCUUGCUCUGGUGAAUUAGUGGCGAACGGGUGAGUAACACGUGAGUAACCUGCCCUUGACUCUGGGAUAACUGCUAGAAAUGGUAGCUAAUACCGGAUACGACCCUCGGAGGCAUCUCCAGGGGGUGGAAAGAAUUUCGGUCAGGGAUGGACUCGCGGCCUAUCAGCUAGUUGGUGAGGUAAUGGCUCACCAAGGCGACGACGGGUAGCCGGCCUGAGAGGGUGACCGGCCACACUGGGACUGAGACACGGCCCAGACUCCUACGGGAGGCAGCAGUCGGGAAUAUUGCACAAUGGGCGCAAGCCUGAUGCAGCAACGCCGCGUGAGGGAUGACGGCCUUCGGGUUGUAAACCUCUUUUAGCAGGGAAGAAGCGAAAGUGACGGUACCUGCAGAAAAAGCACCGGCUAACUACGUGCCAGCAGCCGCCGUAA